GACGGCGGAACGAAAAACACGGCCCGGUUGGUAGUCCGGGCGCGGCCUGCAGCGUCUGUCCCGCGCGGCAGGCCGUCAGUAACCUGCCUCCUUGGUUGUCCGCGUUCCGUAUGCAGUUA
This 119-nucleotide non-coding RNA is filed under the name Lawsonibacter hominis. RNAcentral describes it as "azaaromatic riboswitch aptamer (yjdF RNA)". It matches the Rfam family "azaaromatic riboswitch aptamer (yjdF RNA)". Lineage: Bacteria; Bacillati; Bacillota; Clostridia; Eubacteriales; Oscillospiraceae. RNAcentral also lists the same sequence under 1 other name. The record is from Rfam by way of RNAcentral.